AGAAACUUAGGUUAACCAAACCAGGGGCCUUCAAAGCCCCAAACAAGAGCUAGACCCUCUUAGUUUCUG
Molecule: transfer RNA, 69 nt
Filed under: Plestiodon inexpectatus (southeastern five-lined skink)
Lineage: Eukaryota; Metazoa; Chordata; Lepidosauria; Squamata; Scincidae
Description: tRNA-Trp
Source: RNAcentral